Molecule: ribosomal RNA, 301 nt
Filed under: uncultured bacterium
Lineage: Bacteria
Description: partial 16S ribosomal RNA
Rfam family: Bacterial small subunit ribosomal RNA
Source: RNAcentral
CAGCAGCCGCGGUAAUACGGAGGGUGCAAGCGUUAAUCGGAAUUACUGGGCGUAAAGCGCACGCAGGCGGUCUGACAAGUCAGAUGUGAAAUCCCCGGGCUUAACCUGGGAACUGCAUUUGAAACUGUCAGGCUGGAGUCUUGUAGAGGGGGGUAGAAUUCCAGGUGUAGCGGUGAAAUGCGUAGAGAUCUGGAGGAAUACCGGUGGCGAAGGCGGCCCCCUGGACAAAGACUGACGCUCAGGUGCGAAAGCGUGGGGAGCAAACAGGAUUAGAUACCCCUGUAGUCCCUGUCUCUUAUAA